This 207-nucleotide ribosomal RNA is filed under the name uncultured Pseudomonadota bacterium. RNAcentral's name for it is "uncultured proteobacterium partial 16S ribosomal RNA". It matches the Rfam family "Bacterial small subunit ribosomal RNA", at positions 568 to 774 of the family's 1533-position model. Lineage: Bacteria; Pseudomonadati; Pseudomonadota. The record is from RNAcentral.
UGCGCAGGCGGUUUUGUAAGACAGAAGUGAAAUCCCCGGGCUCAACCUGGGAACUGCCUUUGUGACUGCAAGGCUAGAGUACGGCAGAGGGGGGUGGAAUUCCGCGUGUAGCAGUGAAAUGCGUAGAUAUGCGGAGGAACACCGAUGGCGAAGGCAACCCCCUGGGCCUGUACUGACGCUCAUGCACGAAAGCGUGGGGAGCAAACA